AAGCUUAACUAGAAUUUUCCAAAGCUGAAGCCUAUGGGAUGUGCUGCGGGGAUGAUUUCCACAAUCGAACUCUCUCUUUCUGAUGGCGUAGUGGAGAGAUCCGUAGGACAUUUCUGAGUAGCACCGAUCACUGCCUAGUUGCCCUUUUAUGCAAGCGCGGUCGAUCUCAGGCUAUGCUAAUGUGCACUGCUGUUAAUUUUUCAGAGCUGGUCAACCUCAGAAGAACGGAGACGUUGCGAGCUGGAGAAUGAGAUGUUAUGGGAUUUCUCCGUUGCUGAGGGACUGGGCCACCUCGCAGGAUGAAUCCAGGUUCUAAUGGUCCCUGGUGCCCACCCUGAUCGCUCUUAAUGGUACACAUUAAUCUUACCAGUGUCAGGAGCAGUUCCAUUUGCUACUGAAGAUUCCAAGUUGAAAGGUUAUGUGGCCAAGUAACAUGCUAGUUCUGAGCAUCUUGUCUGCAGCCAGAAUGACUUGAGCCAGGAACCGAUGCUGGAAAGUGACUUCGAUUCCCAACCAUUCUAUUGGAGGGAACCUGCCAGCCAUUGCCCUGUUGGGAGAGUUCAGUCUGGAAGUGAGGUGAGUUGAUGAGCAUAAUGGACCAUGUUGAGCGGUUUCCCAGUGACGAAACACCCAAAUGUCUUACCUCCUGUCCUAGACCCAGAGCCUGCAAAGGUGAACCCACUGGGACUGGCUGGGGGAAAAGAGGAAAUUUUGUUCCAGAAGGAACUGUCUGAGGGACUAGCUGUACUCUGCUGAAUGCAUUAAGUAGUGAUUCCCAUCUAAUAAGUGGUUCACUGUCUCUUUAUACAGGAAUCCAGCCUCGGAGGACACGGCUCUUUACAACCUGUCUGCAGUUCUAAAUAAAGAUAUGUGUUUUGACAUUGUUAA
This is a long non-coding RNA of Erinaceus europaeus (western European hedgehog), 888 nucleotides long. RefSeq lists it as uncharacterized. The record is from RefSeq and is a predicted model, not a curated record. Lineage: Eukaryota; Metazoa; Chordata; Mammalia; Eulipotyphla; Erinaceidae. The transcript has 7 exons.